This 72-nucleotide transfer RNA is filed under the name archaeon. RNAcentral's name for it is "tRNA-Gly". It matches the Rfam family "tRNA". From Rfam's summary of the family: Transfer RNA (tRNA) molecules are approximately 80 nucleotides in length. Their secondary structure includes four short double-helical elements and three loops (D, anti-codon, and T loops). The record is from RNAcentral.
GCGCUAGUAGUAUAGUGGUUAGUAUAUUGGCCUUCCAAGCCGAGGACCGGGGUUCAAAUCCCCGCUGGCGCA